Molecule: long non-coding RNA, 1953 nt
Organism: Brassica napus (rape)
Lineage: Eukaryota; Viridiplantae; Streptophyta; Magnoliopsida; Brassicales; Brassicaceae
Exons: 5
Source: RefSeq, a predicted model, not a curated record
AAUAAAAUAUUUUAAUCACAAUAUUGUAAAGAAAAUAUAACGAUAUAUACUAAAAUAUGAUAUAUAUAUAUAUAUAUAUAAAGUUUUUCAUGUAUUUGUGAGACAUAAUUGUGGGGAUCAAAGUGAAAGUAAAUACUCCAUCCGUUUCAUUUUAAUUGUCGUUCUAGGUUUAUGCACACAGAUUAAGAAAACAUAUGAUUUUGUGUAUUUCCAAAAUAAAAACACAAUUAUCUAUACCCCUAACCAUAUUUCAAUCAAUAGAAAAAUAAAGUGGAAAAUCUUAUUAAUAAAUUUUACAUUAAAAUUUUAAAACGACACUUAUUUUGAAAUGAAAUUUUUUCCCUACAAUGACAAUUAAAUCGAAACGGAAAGAGUAGUAUUUUGGGGAUUAACAAUGCCUCAAUAAAUUUUAGGGUGUACGAUUUGCAUCCUUUAAAAUUAAGGGAAUAAAAGGCUGUUGUAAUACAAAACCCCUUAAAAAUAAAGGAUAAGAAGCUGUUGGAAAUGCUCAUGCAGAACAAUCUUCUUAUAUAAUAAAUGAGACUUUAGUUUCUCCUUAUCCUUAUGAAGCCACAUCAUCAAUGAAGGAUGGACAUUUUCUGCGGCGUGGCGACUUCUUAAAAAAAAUUUCGGCAAGUUAUGUUUUCUAUUCGUGUGUUUAUGGGCCCAUUUUCUGUUUUCUUAUAUAUUCCUACGGGCCUUGCGAAUAUUUGAACAAGACCCAUUAAGUUUUAGGGUUUCCUCAUGAGUCUUCCACCUUUCGCUGCAGCAGCGGCGCGCCUCUUUGGAUCUCCGUCAACGACAGUGUAACGGCUGACGUUUGCAUAUUCAUCUGUCGUAUUAAAUUAAGCAUUUACGUCCGCCCCACUCCUAUCACUUUCUUAGGCAUUAAAUGUCAUCCUCACAGUCAAAGAUAAGCUUUACUCUGUCAACGGCGAGCUUUAUCAAUGGCGAAUUCGUACAUUCUUCUUGCUGACUUGAAAGCUGAACUUCGUUACUGUGGAUGUCAGGCCACUGAGGUUCUAGGAGGCAAGAAACUCAAUAAAGGCUCUAUGUGACUAAAAAAGUGAUAGCUCUGUUCUCAGUUAAGGCUCUGUUUUCUCCAUUUCUGGUUUUGACGUGGCACGGAGCAACAACAAUUUCCGAUUGUCUGACGCCCUGCCAAUCGUCCAAUGAAGAAACCACAAGGAGAAACAGCCUCUCACGAUGCCGACGACCAACUCCAGACACCGGACAGGGUAAAAAAGAAAAAAAAAAAAAAAAGCUUGAGAUGAUGAAUGGACAAUUAGUCACAGGGCGUGUUCAUCUUUGGUGACAAGGUGUACAACAAUCUUUCUCCAAUAUUUCUGUCUAUGAUCUAUGUUUAUUUCUUCUAUCAAUUUUUUUCUUUCAGUUUUGGCAAUCAUUGUUUGUAGGGUCUGAUUAGAGAACUCAGCUUCAGCUUGGUAACUCAGGAAAUUAAAGUUGUGUGUUGUCAUUAUACUACAUCUUUGGAAUUCUGUUCAUUGGCGUAAUUUUCUCUUACUCGGUGAUGAUAUCACGGUAUGUAGGAAAAAUGGGGGACAAGAAAAUGAAUGUACGGCUUCAUUGCAGGCUCUCCGUGUAGAUAAUGUUGAAGUCUCUGAAUAAGCCAACAAUAUCAAAGUAUGACCUACUACCCAGUGUUGUACCCGAAGCUCUUUAUUAGUCUUCACAAGCCAUUUUAGAUGACUUCUCUCGAAUGCCCCACCACUUGAGAAACGUCAAGUGAUCCUCAUGUUCAUGUUUAUUAGUCUCAAUUUUAUUUUUAAUGACCUUAAGGUGGAUAUUUUCUAGCUAUGAAAACGUUCAUGUUCUUUUGGUUUGGUAACGGAUUCGUCUAAAACCGAUACCAACUGAGCAGAUUCGCUUCUGUAACCACGACCAGCUUAUGGCAUUGGCAAAUACCACAACAGCUACCUCGUUUUGUUCUAA